This 879-nucleotide long non-coding RNA is filed under the name Rhinopithecus bieti (black snub-nosed monkey). Its description in RNAcentral is "lncRNA (ENSRBIG00000046431.1)". The record is from RNAcentral. Lineage: Eukaryota; Metazoa; Chordata; Mammalia; Primates; Cercopithecidae.
CCUCCUUGAAGGGGAAAAAUCUUCAACAGGAACCAGGCCACUGAGAGAUGGAAGAAAGGACAGCUCAUACCCAAACCUCACGAGGAGGCUACCAGAAUCACUGGACGGUUCCUUUAUUGGGAAAACCCCCAGCGACUUUCCAAUGAAAUGGAGAAGGGAAAAGAGACCUUUCGGAAUCAGAUGAGUCCAUGAACCGGCAGCAGUCAGGGCAGUGGUGACAUCACAGAAGGAGGAUGGGCCUUAGACAGUCAUUACCCUUUAGAAUCCUUGCAACUUUGAGCAAGUUCAUGAAUCUCACUAAGGCUCAGUUUCCUCCACAGAAUUAAGCAAUAUCAGAGCCUCUGCACCGGACAACUCCAGAGGGCACCAUUGGGGUUAUAUUUUAUGUUUGCCUAACGUUCACUGCAGUGAGUAGGUGCGUGCUUUCUACGAUGUCCUGAGGUCUAAAGGGGUAGAGUUCCGUGUGUGGCAUUUUAGGCCUGGAAAGGAUGGGAGCCUACAAAACCAGAGAAAUAUUGCAGAGAUCCCAGAGCACCACCCAUGAUGCCAGGCUGGAGGAAGCAGCAGACUAGAGGAAUUCAGGACAGACGAGCCAGGAAAGAGGACCCAAUGCAGAGCUCACAUCCCACCCUCCUUCCCCUAUGACAAAGCACUGGCAAACCCUGCCAAAGAAGCUUGGCUGCAAAGCAGUCUGGAACUGGACCCAGGAGCUCACCACCACAGGGAGUGCUGCACUUUGACUGGACAGAAUGCAUCCUCCAUGCCCACAGAGUAUGUGCCCAGGAUGAAUCUCACUGUAUCCCAGUUCCUCAUGAUGGGCCCCAAACCUCUUUUUCACAGUAAUAAAGAAAACACACUUUACAAAAAGGCAGUUCAUCU